Panicum virgatum (switchgrass) is the source of this 802-nucleotide long non-coding RNA. RefSeq lists it as uncharacterized. Lineage: Eukaryota; Viridiplantae; Streptophyta; Magnoliopsida; Poales; Poaceae. The transcript is spliced from 2 exons. The record is from RefSeq and is a predicted model, not a curated record.
CCUGUGUUGCCUUCUUUUUUUUUGUUCGUGGGGUGUCGUUGCUUUUUUUUUUUUGGGGAUGAACAUGUUGACUUGGUGCUGUGCCUGCCAUUGUGUUGAUCUUUGAAAGGAUAUUAUGAUAUGUUUUUAACAGAAACUUGGUAAUGUUUUUGGUGAGGUCAACACAAUCACGCUCAUAUUAUUUCUACUUAUCCUUUCUAUGAUUUGCCAUACAAAAAUGGAAUUUGAGCAAACCAAGCUUCUUUACUCAUAUGCAUGCAUAAUAGGGCGAUUUUCAUGAUUCAAGUCUUAUUGUGGGAAACAAAGCAGAGAUUAAUGCGGAGAAGGAUGGAGGGGCUUGUGGUAAUGGUGAGGGUGAGGGUGGAGAAGGGGAUGGAAGCCCUUCUGCAUACUUAAACCUCAAUGGCAAUGAUGAGGUGGCAGCUCAGAAUGAGGAAGAGACCAAGGUGUUAGUUGCCUGUAGGCCCAAACAAGGUCGGAACAAGAUGCCCAAGGGUCGAUCUCUUAUUACCAAGCUCGAUGAAUUAGGUUGCUCCUGUCAAGGUGAUGGAGCUAAGUACACAUAAUCUAGGUGUAAUGCAUAGACCGUAUCGUUCUCAUCAAAGAUUACAAUAUAUUUGGUGUAUGGACUUCGUUCUUAUCAAACAUUACAAUAUAUUUGAUGUGUGGACUCUUGGUUUUAAUCUCGAUGUAUUGACUCUUCGUUUUAAUUUUGAUGUAUGGACUCUUUUGUUUAAUCAUGAUGUAUGGACUUCGUUUAAUCUUGAUGUACAAGCUGUUUAGUUGAAUUCUACUGCUUUAA